Molecule: ribosomal RNA, 1009 nt
Filed under: Karenia sp. IFR-KUM-01U
Lineage: Eukaryota; Dinophyceae; Gymnodiniales; Kareniaceae
Description: LSU rRNA
Rfam family: Eukaryotic large subunit ribosomal RNA
Source: RNAcentral
UACCCGCUGAAUUUAAGCAUAUAAGUAAGCGGAGGAUAAGAAACUAAAUAGGAUUCCCUUAGUAAUGGCGAAUGAACAGGGAUAAGCUCAGCAUGGAAAUUGGGGCCUCUGGCCUUGAAUUGUAGUCUUGAGAUGUGCUGCCAACGGAGGCGCAGAUGUAAGCCUCUUGGAAAAGAGCAUCAGUGAGGGUGAGAGUCCCGUCUGUCAUCUGCAGUUCUCUGUGCACGGUGCAUUUUCUAAGAGUCACGUUCCUCGGGAUUGGAGCGCAAAUUGGGUGGUAAAUUUCAUCUAAAGCUAAAUAUUGGUUCGAGACCGAUAGCAAACAAGUACCAUGAGGGAAAGGUGAAAAGGACUUUGAAAAGAGAGUUAAAAGUGCCUGAAAUUGCUGAAAGGGAAGCGAAUGGAACCAGUUGUUCUUGGCGAGUAUUGGUGUUGUCUAAAGUGAUGGCUUGCCACUUCAACGCAAGUGUGGUGGCAGGUUUUGAUCUGGAUGCGAUACUGCUUCUCGCCUUGCAUGUCAACGUCAGUUCACAAUUGAGGAAAACUCUAGGGACAUGGUAAUUUGCUUCCGGGCGACUGAAUGUGCCUAGUCGAACUCAUCUGUGAACUGCUCCCUGUGUGUCUGGUAGCAGUGCUCUGUUGUGCACCGUCAAAAGCUUAAGCCUCGUCUCGUGCCUGGCUUUCGCUGUCUGUCAGUGCCUGGAGCACGUCCUUGACAUAAGUACGAUGACGAAAUGGUUUUAUUCGACCCGUCUUGAAACACGGACCAAGGAGUCUAACAUAUGUGCAAGUUCACGGGUGGUAAACCUUCUUGCGCAAUGAAAGUGACUGCUGGGAUAUCUGCACCAGCAACCGACCAAUCAAUUGUGAGAGGUUUGAGUAUGAGCAUAUCUGUUAGGACCCGAAAGAUGGUGAACUAUGCCUGAGAAGGGUGAAGUCAGGGGAAACUCUGAUGGAGGCUCGUAGCGAUACUGACGUGCAAAUCGUUCGUCAUACUGGGUAUAGGCGA